RNAcentral lists this ribosomal RNA (550 nucleotides) under uncultured bacterium. Its description in RNAcentral is "partial 16S ribosomal RNA". It matches the Rfam family "Bacterial small subunit ribosomal RNA", at positions 355 to 895 of the family's 1533-position model. The record is from RNAcentral.
UGGGGAAUAUUGCACAAUGGGCGCAAGCCUGAUGCAGCCAUGCCGCGUGUGUGAAGAAGGCCUUCGGUUGUAAAGCACUUUCAGCGAGGAGGAAGGUGGUGAGCUUAAUACGCUCAUCAAUUGACGUUACUCGCAGAAGAAGCACCGGCUAACUCCGUGCCAGCAGCCGCGGUAAUACGGAGGGUGCAAGCGUUAAUCGGAAUUACUGGGCGUAAAGCGCACGCAGGCGGUUUGUUAAGUCAGNUGUGAAAUCCCCGGGCUCAACCUGGGAACCGCAUUUGAAACUGGCAAGCUAGAGUCUCGUAGAGGGGGGUAGAAUUCCAGGUGUAGCGGUGAAAUGCGUAGAGAUCUGGAGGAAUACCGGUGGCGAAGGCGGCCCCCUGGACGAAGACUGACGCUCAGGUGCGAAAGCGUGGGGCAGCAAACAGGAUUAGAUACCCUGGUAGUCCAGCGCUGUAAACGAUGUCGAUUUUGGAGGUUGUGCCCUUGAGGCGUGGCUUCCGGAGCUAACGCGUUAAAUCGACCGCCUGGGGAGUACGGCCGCAAGGUU